Molecule: ribosomal RNA, 392 nt
Filed under: uncultured bacterium
Lineage: Bacteria
Description: partial 16S ribosomal RNA
Rfam family: Bacterial small subunit ribosomal RNA
Source: RNAcentral
AUACGGAGGAUCCGAGCGUUAUCCGGAUUUAUUGGGUUUAAAGGGUGCGCAGGCGGCCAUUUAAGUCAGCGGUUAAAUCGUGGGGCUCAACCCCAUUCUGCCGUUGAUACUGGGUGGCUUGAUUGCGGUCGAGGUUGGCGGAAUUCGUUGUGUAGCGGUGAAAUGCAUAGAUAUGACGAAGAACACCGAUUGCGUAGGCAGCUGACCAGGCCGCAAAUGACGCUCAUGCACGAAAGUGCGGGGAUCGAACAGGAUUAGAUACCCUGGUAGUCCGCACAGUAAACGAUGAAUACUUGUUUUCGGCGAUAUAAUGUCGGAGGCAAAGCGAAAGCGAUAAGUAUUCCACCUGGGGAGUACGCCGGCAACGGUGAAACUCAAAGGAAUUGGCGGGG